Molecule: ribosomal RNA, 468 nt
Filed under: uncultured bacterium
Lineage: Bacteria
Description: partial 16S ribosomal RNA
Rfam family: Bacterial small subunit ribosomal RNA
Source: RNAcentral
GACGAACGCUGGCGGCGUGCUUAACACAUGCAAGUCGAACGGAAAGGCCCUGCUUUUGUGGGGUGCUCGAGUGGCGAACGGGUGAGUAACACGUGAGUAACCUGCCCUUGACUUUGGGAUAACUUCAGGAAACUGGGGCUAAUACCGGAUAGGAGCUCCUGCUGCAUGGUGGGGGUUGGAAAGUUUCGGCGGUUGGGGAUGGACUCGCGGCUUAUCAGCUUGUUGGUGGGGUAGUGGCUUACCAAGGCUUUGACGGGUAGCCGGCCUGAGAGGGUGACCGGCCCCAUUGGGACUGAGAUACGGCCCAGACUCCUACGGGAGGCAGCAGUGGGGAAUAUUGCACAAUGGGCGGAAGCCUGAUGCAGCCACGCCGCGUGCGGGAUGACGGCCUUCGGGUUGUAAACCGCUUUCGCCUGUGACGAAGCGUGAGUGACGGUAAUGGGUAAAGAAGCACCGGCUAACUACGUG